UGGUAGACACCGAUUCCUCUUAGCCUCCUC
This 30-nucleotide non-coding RNA is filed under the name Rattus norvegicus (Norway rat). Lineage: Eukaryota; Metazoa; Chordata; Mammalia; Rodentia; Muridae. The record is from RNAcentral.